This 25-nucleotide non-coding RNA is filed under the name Cricetulus griseus (Chinese hamster). The record is from RNAcentral. Lineage: Eukaryota; Metazoa; Chordata; Mammalia; Rodentia; Cricetidae.
GUUUAAUAAGAAUUUCAGCUUUGGG